This is a long non-coding RNA of Passer montanus (Eurasian tree sparrow), 2960 nucleotides long. RefSeq lists it as uncharacterized. NCBI's taxonomy places the organism in Eukaryota, Metazoa, Chordata, Aves, Passeriformes, Passeridae. The transcript has 4 exons. The record is from RefSeq and is a predicted model, not a curated record.
UUCUACUCCUUGUUGCUUUUUGCUGCUAACAGUGAAUAAAUGAAAAUGCUUUUUCCCUGGUCGUUCCCUUAAAUGUGCUCACAGCCUUUGCUUAUCUAGCAUGUAUAGGCAAGUUGACACUUUUCCCAGCAUAAAGAGCAUAGAAAUGCUGGCAGCUAUAAAGCUCUGGAACAAAUAUCCAAGCUGAUUCUCACAAAUGGACACACAAGUGCUUAGGUCUCUGUUAGGGAUUCUAAAUCCCAGAAAGUAUGCCAAACAGCUGUUCUGCUAUUGUCCCAACUUUGCCUUCACUGGGCAAUAAAAUGAGUAUUAUUUGCUUUUUGUAAUCACUAUUUAUUUCUGCUUUGCAGUUGACACAAACAUUGAAAAUAGCUGGUCAGAAAAGACUUCAUGAUCCAUCUGCCAAAUGACCACAUCAGUACAUCUGUGGCACCUUGCAGAUUAAGGCACCAAGCAAAAUAAAGACACAUAUGGUGCACAGGAACAGGACUUGGACUGUACAUGACAGUUAAUUGAAUGAAGAUUGCAAAUCUGGCCUUGGGAUAGCAUUCAAAAUGUACAAAAAAUAUCCAGUCAAACUCAGUGAAAUCUCCACAGCUGAUGAUGACUCAACGUGCUCUAAGCACUGGCAUUGGAAAAAAAAAAAAAAGCAAACUAGCAAAACUUGUAGAAGUUAUUAUCCUUUCUGCCUCUUCCUGCUGGCUCUGGGAAGCACAAGUUAUGAUUACUUCACAUGUUUACCAUUUUCAGAUCUCUCUCCCCUUUGUCAGGAAAGGUACUUGCUGAGCCUGAAUGAAGAGUAAGAAAGUUCUAACUAGGUUAUUUGCUGGACUGUUAUGGUGCUUAAGUUUCAGUAAAGUGCAGCAAAGAAGAACCCAUUCUAGUGCCAAGACAGCUUAAAAAGGUUGCCUCACAGCCCUCGUUGCUCUGAAUACCCUGAGGUACAGCUGUACAUGGAAGUCUCCACUAUUAUUAGGAGGGUUAUUUGUUUUUCACUGGCUUGCACACUGUUCUGAAAAGAAGACAGAAGGCCAAAAGACCACCAGAAUAUUUAUCCCCAUAAAGAAAACCAGUUGUUCUGGAGUAUCAAACAUGUGCAUAAGACAAUGUGGAUCACCAGUUUCCAUCUCAGAAAAAAUAAAGUGCAUGUGUGCAUGAGUGCAGUGGUAUUACAUCUAAUAGAAACAUAGAGAAGAUAGCUGAUUAAUUUGUGGAUUAAACAUAAUAGUUUCAUUUUCCUUAGGUUUAUGUCUUAGAGAGAAUCAAAAAUUGAAAAAUUAAAAUUAUCCUAAAUAAUAAGUAACUUAAAACUUUUGUUUAUUACAAUAUUUUGCCACUAAAAUAUGUGGAUUGCAGUUAUUUGACAGCUCUAAUGACUCAUGACCAUGUCCAGUGGACUACAGCCAUAUGAACCCACUGUACCAUCUAUCCAGGAAGAAAAGGAUACCUGAAAAAAAUACAUUAUUGAAUUUGAGUGAAGGCAUCUGAGUUCCAGUGGUGGAGAAAUAGAUUGACUAUGGUAUUGUCAAAGCAUAAUUUUAAGCCAUAGUGGCCCACAUCUAGUGCCAAAAAAGUGGUUCUGUACAGAACUUUACGUGUUAUAGAUAAAAUCAACUCUUUCUUUGAUUUCACUUGACUUUGUUUGCUUUAACCACUGAGAAAUGGAUGCAUGCUUACAAACCAAUUAGCUCAUGUGGGAGAGGUAUGGGAAACACAAGGAAAAGCUCUCUGAUUUAAAUUGCUUAGAAAAAAAAAUGGGCAUUUCCAACACUAAGGUUUUUUUGUUUUUAUGUUUUUUAGGAAAGAGUUUUUUAAAGCUAUUCCAUUACAGAUAUUUAAUAAAGUAGUAAUGAAUGCCAUUCAAAUGAUACCUCACCUGUUUAGAGAGGAAUGAGGUUAAGAAAGCUAUUGCUUAUCCAUCCUGGCUGUGAACUGUGAGCAUUUGGCUGAAACUCAGUGGCAGUAGAACCUUAUUCCCAAGAUUCAGACUUUGAGCAGUCCUCUCCUCCUUUGUCCACAGAAGAAUAUUUUAUUUGCCUGUAUCAUGUGACAGACAUUGCAUAUAGCAGAGUGACUGAUGUAUAGAUGGUACUCCCAGUGUCGUACUAAAUAAUGAAACUACUACACAUAAGAGAUCUGUAGAUACUGGCUACACAGCAGGCCAAGCAGUAGCAGAAAACUUCCAACUGAGGAGGCAAGAGAAAUUACAGAACCAGAGCUAAGCCUGGUUUUUAACCAGAGGUAAGCUGCAGAGCAUUGUGAUAUAAUAUCCUACAAGGUACCUAAGUUGUCAAAGUCAUAAUUGAAUCGUCUAUUAUCCUGACAUCUACAGUGCAGUAAUUUAUUUUUAUUUUUAUUUUUUUUUUUUUUUACUGGGUGAAUAAUUAUAAAGUCAUGUUAGAACACAUAUCUCAUACAAGGACCUUCAGUUUCUUUGCUCCUUUUCUUAUGUGUGGGGUUACAUGUGCCUAUGAUUCUGGAUAGGUGUUAGCUGUUCCAAGCAUUUUUGGACAGAAUAUCAGUGAAAUAAGGAGAAUAAGUGCACAGACAAGCAACUCACAAUUCAAUUUUUAUUGAAUGUUUUGAGGAAGGUUUAUUAAAAUGUUGUUGUUGCUGUUGUUUGGUUCCUUUGAUGCUUUAUUUUUGUAUGUAAUACUAUGAAAAUUGUGAGGGUCUUUGCUGCUGAAACUACCUUGGUUGUACACAAAUACAACCUAGAACAUUUAUCAAAUCUCUAUGUUUUCCAUACCAAAGCUUCAACAAGGUAAUAAUGUAUUUAUAUUGAUUGAAAUGCAUAGUAAUAUUUUAAAGUUAUAUAAUAUUGAAUGUAAUAUUUUAUUAGAACAUAUCUAAUAUUAAGGUUUCCUUUGAAAAUACCAUAUGUUUAUACCUGUCAAUGUUCUCAAAAUCUGUUUUAUUGUAAUAAAAAAUGUAAUAAAAUGUAACCCUUUGUGACAUGA